This 468-nucleotide ribosomal RNA is filed under the name uncultured bacterium. RNAcentral describes it as "partial 16S ribosomal RNA". It matches the Rfam family "Bacterial small subunit ribosomal RNA", at positions 28 to 507 of the family's 1533-position model. The record is from RNAcentral.
GACGAACGCUGGCGGCAUGCUUAACACAUGCAAGUCGAACGGAAAGUCCCGGCUUUUGUGCGCUGCUCGACGUGCGAACGGGUAAGUUACACGUGAGUUACCUGUCCUUGACUGUGGGAUAACUUCAUGACACUUGGUCUAAUACCGCCUAGGAUCUCCUGCUUUAUGGUGGGCGCUGGUUAGUUUCGGCGGUUGGGGAUGGACUCGCGUCUUAUCAGCAGGGUGGUGGGGUAGUGGCUUACGAAGGCUUUGACGGGUAGCCGGGCUGAGAGGGUGACCGGCCACAUUGGGACUGAGAUACGGCCCAGACUGCUACGGGAGGCAGCAGUGGGGAAUAUUGCACAAUGGGCGGAAGCCUGAUGCAGCAACGCCGCGUGCGGGAUGACGGCCUUCGGGUUGUAAACCGCUUUCGCCUGUGACGAAGCGUGAGUGACGGUAAUGGGUAAAGAAGCACCGGCUAACUACGUG